RNAcentral lists this ribosomal RNA (820 nucleotides) under uncultured Bacteroidota bacterium. RNAcentral's name for it is "bacterial SSU rRNA". It matches the Rfam family "Bacterial small subunit ribosomal RNA", at positions 60 to 886 of the family's 1533-position model. The record is from RNAcentral. Lineage: Bacteria; Pseudomonadati; Bacteroidota.
AGUCGAGGGGUAUAGUUCUUCGGAGCUAGAGACCGGCGCACGGGUGCGUAACGCGUAUGCAAUCUGCCUUUCACAGAGGGAUAGCCCAGAGAAAUUUGGAUUAAUACCUCAUAGUAUUAUGGAAGGGCAUCCUUUUAUAAUUAAAGUCACAACGGUGAAAGAUGAGCAUGCGUCCCAUUAGCUAGUUGGUAAGGUAACGGCUUACCAAGGCAACGAUGGGUGGGGGUCCUGAGAGGGAGAUCCCCCACACUGGUACUGAGACACGGACCAGACUCCUACGGGAGGCAGCAGUGGGGAAUAUUGGUCAAUGGGCGCAAGCCUGAACCAGCCAUGCCGCGUGCAGGAUGACGGUCCUAUGGAUUGUAAACUGCUUUUGUACGAGAAGAAACACUGAUUCGUGAAUCAGCUUGACGGUAUCGUAAGAAUAAGGAUCGGCUAACUCCGUGCCAGCAGCCGCGGUAAUACGGAGGAUCCAAGCGUUAUCCGGAAUCAUUGGGUUUAAAGGGUCCGUAGGCGGUUUAGUAAGUCAGUGGUGAAAGCCCAUCGCUCAACGGUGGAACGGCCAUUGAUACUGCUGAACUUGAAUUAUUAGGAAGUAACUAGAAUAUGUAGUGUAGCGGUGAAAUGCUUAGAUAUUACAUGGAAUACCAAUUGCGAAGGCAGGUUACUACUAAUGGAUUGACGCUGAUGGACGAAAGCGUGGGGAGCGAACAGGAUUAGAUACCCUGGUAGUCCACGCCGUAAACGAUGGAUACUAGCUGUUGGAAGCAAUUUCAGUGGCUAAGCGAAAGUGAUAAGUAUCCCACCUGGGGAGUACGAA